This 619-nucleotide ribosomal RNA is filed under the name uncultured Enterococcus sp. RNAcentral's name for it is "bacterial SSU rRNA". It matches the Rfam family "Bacterial small subunit ribosomal RNA", at positions 32 to 614 of the family's 1533-position model. Lineage: Bacteria; Bacillati; Bacillota; Bacilli; Lactobacillales; Enterococcaceae. The record is from RNAcentral.
GACGCUGGCGGCGUGCCUAAUACAUGCAAGUCGAACGCUUCUUUUUCCACCGGAGCUUGCUCCACCGGAAAAAGAAGAGUGGCGAACGGGUGAGUAACACGUGGGUAACCUGCCCAUCAGAAGGGGAUAACACUUGGAAACAGGUGCUAAUACCGUAUAACAAUCGAAACCGCAUGGUUUUGAUUUGAAAGGCGCUUUCGGGUGUCGCUGAUGGAUGGACCCGCGGUGCAUUAGCUAGUUGGUGAGGUAACGGCUCACCAAGGCCACGAUGCAUAGCCGACCUGAGAGGGUGAUCGGCCACAUUGGGACUGAGACACGGCCCAAACUCCUACGGGAGGCAGCAGUAGGGAAUCUUCGGCAAUGGACGAAAGUCUGACCGAGCAACGCCGCGUGAGUGAAGAAGGUUUUCGGAUCGUAAAACUCUGUUGUUAGAGAAGAACAAGGAUGAGAGUAACUGUUCAUCCCUUGACGGUAUCUAACCAGAAAGCCACGGCUAACUACGUGCCAGCAGCCGCGGUAAUACGUAGGUGGCAAGCGUUGUCCGGGAUUUAUUGGGGCGUAAAGCGAGCGCAGGCGGUUUUCUUAAAGUUCUGAUGUGAAAAGCCCCCCGGCUUCAACC